UUCUGGGAACAUACCACCCUGAAUGCACCCGAUCUUAUCUGAUCUCAGAAGCUAAGCAGGGACGCGCCUGAUUAGUACUUGGAUGGGAACAACAACUUUUCAAUGAA
RNAcentral lists this ribosomal RNA (107 nucleotides) under Felis catus (domestic cat). Lineage: Eukaryota; Metazoa; Chordata; Mammalia; Carnivora; Felidae. The record is from RNAcentral.